GGGGCUAUAGCUCAGAUGGGAGAGCGCUUGCAUGGCAUGCAAGAGGUCAGCGGUUCAAUCCCGCUUAGCUCCACCA
This 76-nucleotide transfer RNA is filed under the name Liberibacter crescens BT-1. Its description in RNAcentral is "tRNA-Ala (GGC) (tRNA-Ala-GGC-1-1)". It matches the Rfam family "tRNA". From Rfam's summary of the family: Transfer RNA (tRNA) molecules are approximately 80 nucleotides in length. Their secondary structure includes four short double-helical elements and three loops (D, anti-codon, and T loops). Lineage: Bacteria; Pseudomonadati; Pseudomonadota; Alphaproteobacteria; Hyphomicrobiales; Rhizobiaceae. The record is from RNAcentral. RNAcentral also lists the same sequence under 1 other name.